CAUGGCCACCACCACAGGCUUACUAUCCUGCUUCUAACUAUCUCCUGCAGUUCAUCCUCCGCCUGGGUAUCCACUUGUUGGCUAUCCAAAGCAAUCCAUUUAGGCCUUAAAGUUCGUGACAGACCUCCUAAGAAGCUCAAAUUCAAGAACGCUCAAUGAGGACACUGGAUGAGAAGGAGACGACCCAGGUGUUCGAGAAGCUUUUCAAGUUCACCGGCAACAACCUCAAGAACAUUGUUGAGAGCCCCUCCCACGAGGGCCCUGACCCGGACCCAGGCCGCUACUGCUUCCGUCUCUGCAAGAACCGGGUCUACUAUGUUAGCGAGUCACUGGUAAAGCGUGCCACCAACAUUGGCCGCCACAACCUGGCGUCCCUAGGCACCUGCAUCGGCAAGUUUACCAAGGGUGGGAGCUUCCACCUGACAAUCCAGGCGCUGAGCAUUUUGGCCGCCAACGCGAAGCACAAGGUCUGGCUCAAGCCCACCUCGGAGAUGUCAUUCCUUUACGGGAAUCACGUGUUGAAGGGUGGAUUGGGGAGGAUCACCGAAAACAUCAAUCGAGGUGAUGGCGUGGUGGUUUUUUCAAUGUCUGACAUUCCUUUGGGAUUUGCGAUUUCACAAAGGUCAACACAGGAUUGUAGGAAGUUGGAUCCAAACGGGCUUGUCGUGCUUCAUCAGGCCGAUAUUGGGGAGUACUUGAGGAUGGAGGAUGAGCUUUGAAUGAGGGUUUGCUUAUACAUUGGGUUGUUCUGCUCCGAUUGUUCAGAUCUUUGUCCAUCCAUCUUCUUCAAUAGACAACAAGAGCAAGGAAUUUUCAAGUUCUCCAAGCCAAGCUUCAUUUGAUGUCACAGAACCUCCAUGCACUCAAGAACCUGUAAUUGGUGGUGGACUGUGAAGUUGCAAACUGGAAAAUGCUAGUGGAUAUUCAGUGCAUGCUGUUAGAUGAGGAUGUUGAGUUGUAGACCAGAAAGUGCUGGUUUUGAUGUUGUUUCUAAGUGGAUUUGGCUAUGUACCAUGGGUUGAGUUGUGCUGCCGUGUUGGGACGUUUGUCUUUGCCAUCAAAUAAUGUGGAUCAGUUUGUCUAAUGCUAUUUAGUUUGCUUUCAUUAAA
Rhodamnia argentea is the source of this 1109-nucleotide RNA transcript. It is a transcript of the gene named 60S ribosome subunit biogenesis protein NIP7 homolog, with no coding region annotated. The record is from RefSeq and is a predicted model, not a curated record. The transcript has 3 exons. Lineage: Eukaryota; Viridiplantae; Streptophyta; Magnoliopsida; Myrtales; Myrtaceae.